Molecule: microRNA, 23 nt
Filed under: Oreochromis niloticus (Nile tilapia)
Lineage: Eukaryota; Metazoa; Chordata; Actinopteri; Cichliformes; Cichlidae
Description: oni-miR-10915
Source: miRBase by way of RNAcentral
AGGCCUUGCUGUAGUCAACCCAG